AGAGUUUGAUCCUGGCUCAGGAUGAACGCUAGCUACAGGCUUAACACAUGCAAGUCGAGGGGCAGCAUUUUAGUUUGCUUGCAAACUAAAGAUGGCGACCGGCGCACGGGUGAGUAACACGUAUCCAACCUGCCGAUAACUCGGGGAUAGCCUUUCGAAAGAAAGAUUAAUAUCCGAUAGUAUAUUAAAACCGCAUGGUUUUACUAUUAAAGAAUUUCGGUUAUCGAUGGGGAUGCGUUCCAUUAGUUUGUUGGCGGGGUAACGGCCCACCAAGACUACGAUGGAUAGGGGUUCUGAGAGGAAGGUCCCCCACAUUGGAACUGAGACACGGUCCAAACUCCUACGGGAGGCAGCAGUGAGGAAUAUUGGUCAAUGGACGAGAGUCUGAACCAGCCAAGUAGCGUGAAGGAUGACUGCCCUAUGGGUUGUAAACUUCUUUUAUAUGGGAAUAAAGUAUUCCACGUGUGGGAUUUUGUAUGUACCAUAUGAAUAAGGAUCGGCUAACUCCGUGCCAGCAGCCGCGGU
RNAcentral lists this ribosomal RNA (525 nucleotides) under Bacteroides sp. CS3. RNAcentral describes it as "bacterial SSU rRNA". It matches the Rfam family "Bacterial small subunit ribosomal RNA", at positions 8 to 521 of the family's 1533-position model. Lineage: Bacteria; Pseudomonadati; Bacteroidota; Bacteroidia; Bacteroidales; Bacteroidaceae. The record is from RNAcentral.